This 440-nucleotide small RNA is filed under the name Histoplasma capsulatum. RNAcentral describes it as "hypothetical RNA". RNAcentral also lists the same sequence under 1 other name. Lineage: Eukaryota; Fungi; Ascomycota; Eurotiomycetes; Onygenales; Ajellomycetaceae. The record is from RNAcentral.
CUGCUCGCUGCCCUGGUUAUGAGAUCAACCUCUCCAACAAUCGUUCUCCUCAAAGUCUUGCAGAAUUAUAUCGAUAUAUUCGCCUGCCCCUGAGAGGCGAAAGAUAUGAGCUGGGGAGAAGGGGUAUCUAUGGACAGGUAUUCUCUGGGGCAGAGGGUGUGGUAACAGAAGUCUUAGUCCCGUUACAAAAUGGACAUGCUGUUCCAUACCCUUGAACGCCUCACCGGAGUCAAAUGCGUGUGAAAUUAUACGACGAUGGCAGUUGCAGAUGAGGCAAAAGCUCCAAACAAAUGAUUUUUUUGCCCAAUGCCCCUGUAAGUUCAUGCCCGCCUGUUUGUGCCUGUUGCAUCAUGGAAAGGUGUGAAUUAUGGACGACUGGAGCAUUCCUGCCUGUGACUUUCACCAUUAACAACAUCAGCAAAGAAGCGUAAGAGCGCAGU